This is a long non-coding RNA of Eleginops maclovinus (Patagonian blennie), 522 nucleotides long. RefSeq lists it as uncharacterized. The transcript has 2 exons. The record is from RefSeq and is a predicted model, not a curated record. NCBI's taxonomy places the organism in Eukaryota, Metazoa, Chordata, Actinopteri, Perciformes, Eleginopidae.
CCCUACCAGCCCGCCUACCCUUCAAAUCCUCAGCAGGCCAAGCCCUACCAGCCUUCAAAUCCUCAGCAGGCCAAGCCCCACCAGCCUUUCUACCCUUCAAAUCCUCAGCUGCCCAAACCUCAGCAGGCUAAGCCUUACCAGCCUGUCAAUCCUUUGAAUCCUCAGCAGGCCAAGUCCUACCAGCCCACCUACCCGUCAAACCCUAGGCAGCCUAAACCUCAGCAGGCCAAACCCCUGCAAGGGCCACUCCAAACUAAAGCUGAAAUGUGGGACAUUUCUUCUUCUGAAGGAAGUGUUGCUUCUGGCUCUAAUGUGCACCCCACUGACUCAAACCCACCAUUGAAUGUUGAUCCAAGAAGUUUGAGAGAACUUCCAAUGUCCUUCCCGUACCAGCCCAGGUGGCAGCAACAAAUGGUGCCAGUGUAGAACAGACACCAUUGACCUUCCUAACUGUUACUGAACUUGCCUGGAAGAAUUCUGUACUGGCCUCAACUUUGAAUUCAAUAAAAUGAUUGGAACACA